CAAGACAUUUUUACAUUUGUAAAUUACAACAAAUUAAUAAUGAAACUAUUUCAAUUAAUAUUCGUAAUUGGCUGCAUGAUUGUCAGCGUUUUUGCUACUCCUGGUCAUAAUAUCAUAAAAGGCGAUCACAAUAGUAAUAUUAAUCAAAGCAACAGCGAUUUUGAUCUUGAUAUCGAUUUUUCGUUAUAAUUAUAAAAAUUAUGAGAAAAAGUUAAAAAAGUAAAUAAAUGAAUUACUAACACAAA
Lucilia cuprina (Australian sheep blowfly) is the source of this 245-nucleotide long non-coding RNA. RefSeq lists it as uncharacterized. Lineage: Eukaryota; Metazoa; Arthropoda; Insecta; Diptera; Calliphoridae. The record is from RefSeq and is a predicted model, not a curated record. The transcript is spliced from 2 exons.